UAGCUCAGUUGGUAGAGCGCUCCACUUGUAAUGGAGAGGUCCCGGGUUCGAUACCCGG
RNAcentral lists this transfer RNA (58 nucleotides) under Ixodes scapularis (black-legged tick). It matches the Rfam family "tRNA", at positions 8 to 63 of the family's 71-position model. Rfam says of the family: Transfer RNA (tRNA) molecules are approximately 80 nucleotides in length. Their secondary structure includes four short double-helical elements and three loops (D, anti-codon, and T loops). Further hydrogen bonds mediate the characteristic L-shaped molecular structure. tRNAs have two regions of fundamental functional importance: the anti-codon, which is responsible for specific mRNA codon recognition, and the 3' end, to which the tRNAs corresponding amino acid is attached (by aminoacyl-tRNA synthetases). tRNAs cope with the degeneracy of the genetic code in two manners: having more than one tRNA (with a specific anti-codon) for a particular amino acid; and 'wobble' base-pairing, i.e. permitting non-standard base-pairing at the 3rd anti-codon position. Lineage: Eukaryota; Metazoa; Arthropoda; Arachnida; Ixodida; Ixodidae. The record is from Rfam by way of RNAcentral.